This 459-nucleotide ribosomal RNA is filed under the name uncultured bacterium. RNAcentral describes it as "partial 16S ribosomal RNA". It matches the Rfam family "Bacterial small subunit ribosomal RNA", at positions 338 to 795 of the family's 1533-position model. The record is from RNAcentral.
CCUACGGGAGACAGCAGUGAGGAAUAUUGGUCAAUGGGCGGGAGCCUGAACCAGCCAAGCCGCGUGAGGGAAGAAGGUCCAGCGUAUCGUAAACCUCUUUUGUCAGGGAACAAAGGCGGGGACUAGUCCCCGGAUGAGGGUACCUGAAGACAAAGCAUCGGCUAACUCCGUGCCAGCAGCCGCGGUAAUACGGAGGAUGCGAGCGUUAUCCGGAUUUAUUGGGUUUAAGGGGUGCGCAGGCGGCCUGUUAAGUAAGCGGUAAAAGCCCGGGGCUCAACCCCGGCGAGCCGUUGAAACUGGCGGGCUGGAGUGGGAGAGAAGUACGCGGAAUGCGCGGUGUAGCGGUGAAAUGCUUAGAUAUCGCGCAGAACCCCGAUUGCGAAGGCAGCGUACCGGCUCCACACUGACGCUGAGGCACGAAAGCGUGGGGAGCGAACAGGAUUAGAUACCCCAGUAGUC